UAAUGAUGAUGGUGUAGUGAUCGCGCAGCUGAGGCUGUGAAAAUAAAACCGCUGAUGAGUGAUUUCACUACUAGGACCUCGGUUUCAUUAACACUGGAAAUAGAAAACCACAAGGCGGUGGAAGGAUGUCGGAAAGUUCAAGCGAUACAGAGUCCUGCGGGUGGACCGUCAUAAGUAACGAGGGAUCAGACAUUGAGACACUGUGGCCCGAGCAUCGAAGGGACAGCCAUGCUGAGUCUGAGAGUCUGGAGGAGGAGGAGGUGAAGGAGGAGGUGCAGCAGGAGGUGAAUGAAGAG
Molecule: long non-coding RNA, 296 nt
Organism: Megalops cyprinoides (Indo-Pacific tarpon)
Lineage: Eukaryota; Metazoa; Chordata; Actinopteri; Elopiformes; Megalopidae
Exons: 3
Source: RefSeq, a predicted model, not a curated record